CCCCGGUUAGCUCAGUUGGUAGAGCGCUCCACCUAUAAUGGAGAGGUCCCGGGUUCGAUAUCCUGACGAGGCG
Non-coding RNA from Ixodes scapularis (black-legged tick), 73 nucleotides. The record is from Rfam. Lineage: Eukaryota; Metazoa; Arthropoda; Arachnida; Ixodida; Ixodidae.